This 607-nucleotide long non-coding RNA is filed under the name Brassica rapa (field mustard). RNAcentral describes it as "long non-coding RNA (BRAP_LNC003675)". Lineage: Eukaryota; Viridiplantae; Streptophyta; Magnoliopsida; Brassicales; Brassicaceae. The record is from RNAcentral.
CAUGGUGCAAGCGUUUUUGUCACUGAAAACUUGAAGAGAUGAUAUUUUCUUCGGUACACUGGAGAGUUACAAGAAAGACGCCAUCUGCUUCGUCAAUAUUUUUUGGUUUAAAAUAGUCAAGAACCAUUCUCGGAACGCUCUAAAGUUUCAAUGGAGUUUCUCACUGAGAAGGACGAAGAUCAAUGAUAACAAGUACUAGAUUUCUUAAUCUGUACACUGGCGAUUCACAAGAACGAAGGCUGACUAAGCAGAGCAACCUCAACAUUUACCCUCCACAGUACUGGUAAAUCAUUUGUCCUUCACGUAUAUUAUGAAAACAAAAAAAAGUAAAUUGAUAUAAAAAAACUUACAGGUGGCAGAUCGUCAAAGAACUUCUAAGGAUAACUUCGAUGGAAACAAGCAAGGACUACAAAAAAUUGGUUAGUACAUAAAUAGGGUUUCAAUAUAUACUAUAAUUAAAAAAAAAAACCUAAUAUGAAGCACAAGACACUUUUCUAAAUGCACUUAUUCAAUUAAUCCUGUUGCAGGCUUUUUUUUUAAAAAAAACCUUGCAGGCUAUUUAUUCCGAUAGGUUGGAAAGUUUUAACAUGGUUUAGCAAUGCCCACA